CCGUAGGUGAACCUGCGGAGGGAUCAUUACAGAGUUCAUGCCCUAACGGGUAGAUCUCCCACCCUAUGUUAUCAUCACUUUGUUGCUUUGGCGGGCCGUCAGGCCUCGGCUUGGCUACCGGCUCUCGCUGGUAAGCGCCCGCCAGAGAACCCCAAACCCUGAAUAUCAGUGUCGUCUGAGUACUAUAUAAUAGUUAAAACUUUCAACAACGGAUCUCUUGGUUCUG
Molecule: unclassified non-coding RNA, 226 nt
Filed under: plant metagenome
Description: partial contains small subunit ribosomal RNA, internal transcribed spacer 1, and 5.8S ribosomal RNA
Source: RNAcentral